ACAUGCAAGUCGAACGGAAAGGCCUCUUCGGAGGUACUCGAGUGGCGAACGGGUGAGUAACACGUGGGUAAUCUGCCCUGCACUUCGGGAUAAGCCUGGGAAACUGGGUCUAAUACCGGAUAUGACCACGGAACGCAUGUUUUGUGGUGGAAAGCUUUUGCGGUGUGGGAUGGGCCCGCGGCCUAUCAGCUUGUUGGUGGGGUGACGGCCUACCAAGGCGACGACGGGUAGCCGGCCUGAGAGGGUGUCCGGCCACACUGGGACUGAGAUACGGCCCAGACUCCUACGGGAGGCAGCAGUGGGGAAUAUUGCACAAUGGGCGCAAGCCUGAUGCAGCGACGCCGCGUGGGGGAUGACGGCCUUCGGGUUGUAAACCUCUUUCAGCAGGGACGAAGCGCAAGUGACGGUACCUGCAGAAGAAGCACCGGCCAACUACGUGCCAGCAGCCGCGGUAAUACGUAGGGUGCGAGCGUUGUCCGGAAUUACUGGGCGUAAAGA
This 498-nucleotide ribosomal RNA is filed under the name Mycobacterium genavense. RNAcentral describes it as "bacterial SSU rRNA". It matches the Rfam family "Bacterial small subunit ribosomal RNA", at positions 53 to 566 of the family's 1533-position model. Lineage: Bacteria; Bacillati; Actinomycetota; Actinomycetes; Mycobacteriales; Mycobacteriaceae. The record is from RNAcentral.